This 2465-nucleotide long non-coding RNA is filed under the name Sus scrofa (pig). Its description in RNAcentral is "lncRNA (ENSSSCG00005009847.1)". Lineage: Eukaryota; Metazoa; Chordata; Mammalia; Artiodactyla; Suidae. The record is from RNAcentral.
CCACCAGGAGAGAGCCGCCAGACAGUACAGCCCACCCGUUUUAUAUCCUCUCAGGCGGUCUGUGCUUUAUUGGGGUAAAUAUGCAGGACAUAGAAACUCUGCCACUGGACCCCUCGGCCGGGGGACACAGCAGCAGCGUUGCAUGCUUUCUGGGUGCAGCGCAGCCAGCACCACCGGCCAGAGCACCCCAUCUUCCCGAUCAACCGGACACCCCUUGGCUCAUUGGCCCUGUCGGCCCUCCGUCCUGGGGGCAGAUGGAUGGCCGUCACCUCCUCAGGCUGCCUCCUGAGAUGCAGAAACAUUCACGGGUCUCGCGAGUCCCGGUGGUGGGUGUCGCGGCAGCCAGCCCCGGCUGGACAGACGAGGCUCGGGCCCUGCUGCCCACCUGCCGGCCGCAGCCCUGACAGCCAAGGGGGAUCUCACCCCCCAGCCUCUGGUUGUCAUUAGCUGCUCCCGGGCGGGAGGUGGGUGCUGCAGCCAGCAAGGAUCCAGGCUCACGCGGGGCCACCUGGGCCUCAUUACUCUUAAGUGGUCGGGUCUGAGAGUGCCGGGGGGGGGGGGCUGCCCCCACUCUGGGCUAGCACCGUGGGGGCUUUGCCAGAGUGGAACUGAACUGGGUCCACCCCGGAGCCCAGAGGGCGGUGAAUGGGAGGCAGAGCCCAUCCUGGGAAUGGACCAGAAGAAAGGGAGCGGGGGUGGGGGAAGGGGCAUCAGAUCCUGGUCCUUCCUUGUCGCCUGCGGUCCCUCUGCCACCACUCCCCGAAGCUGAUCUGGAGCACACGCGUCGUUAAAGCCNNNNNNNNNNNNNNNNNNNNNNNNNNNNNNNNNNNNUCUUCACGGGCGGGCCUGAGAGAUGGGCGCCCGUCCGGCCCUGGCGUCAUCGUCUCCGCGUCUCUACCCACUGAGCAAAGACACACGAAAUGAAGCUCGAACGAGCACAGCCAAAGAACGGCCGUUUCUGUCCUUUCUUCUUAAUCCCUUUGGCUUAGGGUUUCCCGGCCUGGACAGCCUGCCCAAGGGCACAUGGGCAUCCGUCCGGGGACAUUCAGGCAGUGACCAAUCCCAGGCCACCCAGGCUGCGCCCUGCGUCGUGGGCCAUUUCCCAGCCGGCCAGAGAUGGAGCAGCCACUGCGGGUCCCCGAGUCUCGGUGAGACAGUCAAGGAUGGACCUUGGAUGGAGACCGGCGUGCGGCCAUGUCCGUGGGUGAAGGAGGCGUGCAGGCCGUGCUGGGGGACAUGGUUGCUGUCCCCUCGGCCAAACCAUGAAAAGCAGCCCUCUCCCCCAACCCCCAGCACCAACCCGGAGACCACCCUCGGCCGGAGCCCAGCACGGCCACCGUCACGUCUCGGUCGUCCAGCUUGGGACAGGUCAGUUCCCAGACGUCCAGGCUGGAGCUGGUCCUUGAAGAUCCUGGGGGUCCAGCCCGGCACAGGAGGGCCAGCCCCCAAGGAGAAGAGGUGCUGAACUGGGUCCCCUGGAGGCUCCUGAGCCCCAGAACAGUGCCCUCUGAGCAGACGGGCACUCUCAGACCAGCUCCCGCUGGACAAGUCAGCUCCUGCCUGCCGCCUGAUGGGCCCUUGGGAGAAGCAGACAUGGUGAGGAAAAGGUCCCUGUGCCCUUCACCCUAAUUCCCCAGCCCCAAGUCCCACUGGGUUGCCAGCUUCAACCUAAGCAAAUAAUUCGUGCCCUCUAAACAAACGCGCGGGAAUCCCACCUGCCCUUCCCCCGCCCGCCCCCCCACCCCUGGCCUUGACCUCCAAAAGCACUUGAGGGGGCUUUCUCCAGACACCCUCCAACCCCGACCCCAUGAAGAAGGGGUGAUGGGGCUGUUACCCCAACAAGCAAGAGAACGAAGCCCAGAGAGGAGUUGGCGUGGACAGCAGGGGUCAGGCCCCUUUGCCCCGAGGGCAGGGCUGGUGCCACCUGGGUCAGGCGGCAGGCCCUGGAAAAGCACCGGAAAUGAGCACACCUGGGUCUCUAGAAGGUUCUUCCAGACCUCUGGGGGCUGAGUCAUUUCAACACUCCUGGGCCGGGCAGGGCUUCUUCUUGGUCCCGAGGGACAAGGUCCCCUUCGUCCGGGGGGUACGGCCCCUGGACCCCUGUCCCCCGCACCCCACCCUCCGCCUGGUGAGGGCCGCGGCCAGCUCUGGACACAGAUCCCUCAGAGCCCCUUCUCCCUCCCUGCUCCCUCGUCUUCCCAAGAUGCCCCGGCCUCCAGGUGGGGCAGCCAGGCGGCAGAAUGUGGUCCAGGCCUCUCGGCCCCACCCACACCACCCACACCUGCCCUGACAGCCUCCAAGACGCAUUCACGUCGCUGCGUUCUGCGUCCUGUCUCCUCAUGGCACAAAACGGUGCCCGCCUAGCUUCCCCCAGAGAAGGGAGAUCGUGCUCCCCGGACGGACCCUGCUCUGCCUGUCCUCCCGCCCGGCCUUCAGGGCCUCUCCCCAAGGGUGGCAGCGAGGAG